Molecule: long non-coding RNA, 15514 nt
Filed under: Arabidopsis lyrata
Lineage: Eukaryota; Viridiplantae; Streptophyta; Magnoliopsida; Brassicales; Brassicaceae
Description: long non-coding RNA (ALYR_LNC001482)
Source: RNAcentral
AAGUUAAGCAAAGUAGGACAAGCCAUUGAGAACAAUGAUCUACCAGCUGCAGGUUUGGUUUUGGGGAAAGGCAUUGAUACCGAAUGGGUCAAAACCGUUAAUUUGGCUUUCACAAAGGUAUUUCUUGCUCCUUUUAACUCUUCACAAAGGUCAAAUCUAUUAGUUCAAUGUGGAUACAACUGGUUAAAACAUAAAUAUAUAUAUAUAUAUAUGUAUUGUUUUUCUUUUACAUAAGGUAGACAUUGUUUAAUGGUUAUGUUACUGUUUGUUGAAAAGUCCUUCCUUGUGUCCUUGUGACAGUUGAGUACAAGCCCAGAAGAGAAUACAGAAGUGGAAGCAUUUAAUUCAUCUUUAGCUUCUCUUAUUACAUCAGGUCUUGUUCUUCUACCUAACUUUUUCAUUCAUAAGAAUCAAAAUUGUCAUUAAAACAUUGUAAUGAUCUCCUUGAAACUUGGUUUACGAUUCCUUUUUUCGCAGUGAACAAGAACGAUAUAGAGUCAUCGAAGCUUGCUUUCGUGUCAUCGGCUGGUGCAUUUGAGAAAUGGACGACUUUGACAGGUCUUUUGGAACAGCUUAAGGGACUGUGAUAGGCUGCUACAAAUUCUUUACUUUUUUUUUUUUUUGUAUUUUUCGACAGAUUUGUCAAAGAGGGUCUUUUUUUCUCCAAAUUGUCCUUUGAAUAAUCCACUUUCUUAACUUCUUUGGUUAUAUACAUUUGAUCAUGCUUACCAUGCAUCAAUAUCAAUAUGGUUGAUUUUUCCAUCGAAUUCCACAUCAAAAGGAACCAAGAAACCAUACCAAAACUUCUUUGGUUAUCUAAACCAAGUAAAAAAAAGUACUCCCUCUGUUCCAAAUUAGAGGAUGUUUAAGCCUUUUUUUCUUGUUCCACAAUAUAAGAUUUUUUCAGAUUUUUAUGCAUAAUUUAUGUUUAUUUAGUUUAUUUAUGAUCUUUUGAAUUCUGCUGUCCUUUUUUCUAUUGGUUAAAUUUUUAUAAAUAAAUAAACAUUUAUUACUUCUUAAUCUUUGUGCUUUUAACAAAAGCAUCUUAUAAUUUGGAACAGAGGGAGUAAAAACUAAACACCUUUCCAUUUGGUUUUUAAAAAAAAAAAAAUGAGAAACCUUUAAAACCGAGAAGGCAUACCGACAUAGAGCAUCACCAAAUUACCCGAAACAAAACUGAACCCAAGAAGGAGGCAAGUUACUAGAUGAAGUCGGUAGGUGGAAGUUUGAGUCAUUUGGCCUUUUCUCAGAAUACAUUGAAUGCUUUAUUAAAACUUUAUCUCAUAACCAAUGUAAAUGCAAAUAAUCAAACGUUAAUCAAUCCAAUUCAGCUUUGAAAAAUCCUCCAAGAAGAAGAGUCAAUAUUGGUUGCGACGGUCCUGUAGAGAUACUAUUAAACAUUAAUGAGAAAGCAGAAAUGCUUCUGUAUAAAUACCAUCACUACUUGUGUCUUAUUUCACCACCUUCACCUUCAACAUCAAACAUCACAUCUCUUACUCAGUCUUCAAAGAGUUUCUUAGUAACCAAAUCAAUGGCAGGUAUCAAAGUUUUCGGACACCCAGCUUCCAUUGCCACCAGGAGAGUCCUCAUCGCCCUCCACGAGAAGAACCUCGACUUUGAGCUCGUUCAUAUCGAACUCAAAGACGGUGAGCACAAGAAGGAGCCUUUCCUCUCCCGCAACGUAAGUAUAUCUAUCUAUCUAUCUACGUGUUGUUGUAAGACAAGAGACCAACUGUUUUGAUGAUCUGGUCGGAAUCUUAAGUGUUUUCGGUUUGAACUUCUUUCCUCUUCAGCCUUUUGGACAAGUUCCAGCCUUUGAAGAUGGAGACCUCAAGCUCUUCGGUAUGAACCUUUUCCAUGCAUCAUCUUCAAUCUCAAAUCUGAUUUGACAAUAGGCAUUAGAAGGCAAAAUCACUAACAUGAAUUGGAUCUUUUUGUGCAGAAUCAAGAGCGAUUACUCAGUACAUAGCUCACCAGUAUGAAAACCAAGGAACCAACCUUCUCCAAGCCGACCCCAAGAACAUAUCUCAGUACGCAAUCAUGGCCAUUGGAAUGCAAGUAGAAGCUCAUCAGUUCGACCCAGUGGCUUCAAAGCUUGCUUGGGAACAAUUAUUCAAGUCCAUCUACGGCUUGACCACAGACCAAGCUGUUGUUGCAGAAGAAGAAGCUAAGUUAGCCAAGGUCCUUGAUGUCUACGAGGCUAGGUUGAAGGAGUUCAAGUACUUGGCUGGUGACACUUUCACUUUGACUGAUCUUCACCACAUUCCCGCCAUUCAAUACCUGCUCGGAACUCCCACCAAGAAGCUCUUCACCGAGCGUCCACGUGUCAACGAGUGGGUGGCUGAGAUCACCAAGAGGCCAGCUUCAGAGAAGGUUCUGUGAGAAAUUUCUAAAAGGAAAAUAUGGUUUUGCUUCAGUCACAGUAAUAAUGCUAAAAUUAAAUAAGCGGCUACCUCAUUGCCCAAUUUCUCAGUACUUUCUUUCUGUUGUAUCCUCUGUUUUUGUUUCAGUUAUGUGAGUGUGUGUAUGUUCUCGAGAGUAUCUUUGGCAAAAACUAUUUAUCUAAUCUUCAAGCUCUUCUAAAAUAAAUCAAUUAGUUCACUAAUGCAAAGAUUGCAAUGUCUUAACUAUGGAGUUACUGACUAGCGAGAAUAGUAUACAAGGACUUUAGUAUUGUGGAAAUCUUACUUUGGAACGUUUCUCCUGGGGAAAGAAGUUUACUUAAGACUUUGGACGUUCUUAUCCUGAAAGUUUCCUUGCUUUAUCAGGUCUGAAAAUGACAAGUAAUAUAGACGUUAGAUUCAAAUCAGACAAAACAAAACACAUCAGAUUUCUGGACCUAUUCAAGUCUCUAUAAAUUACAGAAACGAUUAGAGCAGUAAGUUUGAGUGUUUUCACCAUCAAUCACGGAUCUUCUCUGACUCAGCAACGGGAAAAGACACAAGACGCAAAAAGAGAGGUAGAUAUAAAUCCUAAGCCAGAUCGAUUAAACUGAAUUGGUUUGUACCUUGACCGCCUCAUGUUUGUCUCCAAUGGUUUCCUCGUCUCAUCCCUCCCUCUGAUGACUUUGUGGCUACCCAAAGAAUUGUGAGUAAAGCCAGCCAUAUAUUUGCAGACUCUGGUCAUCCUUAAGUUAGAGACUUUGCUACAUCAAAUAUUCACAUAAUCCACCAAGAAAGCAAGAAAUAGCCUUUAUUCAGAGUUUGUCUGUUAUUAUCAUCCAGCUUACUUCACCACGAUAAUCCAAUAAUUUCCGGAGGUUAUACAGAUUGAAAAUCUAUCACAAAGCAUUUUUAUAAAACACAUACCAUUGCCUUCAAGGUAUCAAGGAAGAACAGUAAGAUCCUGGUGAAGAACACAAUGAGAUAAGGGUUCUAGCACAAAAUCUUAUGAACAGGGUAUGCAGCUGCUUAAAAGAUUCUUCAACGAGCGUUUACUAUCUUCUGCAGAAAUUUAAGAAACAAAUUAGCAAACUCAAGCCAAGCAACAUCAUUAACAUGAGAAGUAGAACCAAAAGAAGACUGAACUAGGCUCCAUUAUCUGAAGAACAGCAAGAGAAGCUGAGAAGGGCUACUGAAAUUGAAGAAUUACUGAUACAUGAUAAAUCCGACGGGAACCUCUCAACAGAACCAAAAUACAACUUUGAUAAACUUCAACAAAGUUUUUAUUAAAGUGGGGAAAAAACAUGAACUAAAAACCAGUAAUAUAAAAAAAAGAUCCUUCGGCAGCAUUCAUCCGCAUAUUUAGUACAUGCUGUACUUGUCGUUUGUCGCGUCUGGUCGAAUGCUCUUGUAGAUGGACAUGGCAAUUGGAAGAAUGGCCGUGAGAGCAAUCUGCAACUGAUCUGAGCUGCUGGUUCUGACUGUGAUCUGUCCGCUCAUCUUGUUGUUAAGUCCUGCACGAAGCGCGAUCUUUGAGUUCCUUCCAACAGAGAGUUGAGAUUGGAGAUUGGCUCCUAGGGCUAAAUCACCUCUCCACUUCACCAAAGACAGCCCAAAAGAAGAUUGGUCCUGUCCAAUUGGGAAAUCAGCUUCCCUAAGCCUGACCUCAAGGUUCGCACCAUAGGCCGAAUCUCCCUGUGAUCGCAUUGUCCCAGUGCUGCCCACAAGCACAAACCUUUUCCCCAGUGCUAUUUGGUCCUCGAGUUUGACACCAGUGGCGAUGUUCUCUCCCAAGAAUGUCACUGACCCUCCAACAGUUGUCUUGUUCUUCCUCAAGUUCUUGAAUUUGGUUUCUCCUCUGACCACAUAUGCCAGCUGCUUACCUACAUUCUGAAUAUCAAACCCUGCCAUGGUGGAUCCAUUCUCGCCGUGCUUAGCAGACACCGAGGAGUCCAGAUGAAUGUUGAACUCUUUCUUGUCCUUGGUGACUUGGACAGUAGCUGUGGCAGGGAACCGGCUUGCUACAGCAAGACUGAGUUCUGCAUUGACGCCGUCAUAUCCACAGUCAUGGUCCCAACCAUGGGUGUCCAACACUGGCCUGGUUAGGAGUUGUGAAGUGGGUUCAAGAAAUCGGUAUCGGUAAGCUGAGUUAUCACUAUCAAAUGAAGGUGGCAAAACCAUAUCGGGUAAUGGAACUGGCACUGCAGCUGGAGCCCCGUUUUCUGGAUCAUCUUCUUCUCCCGGAUAACCAAACUCACUCUCACCCACCUUCUUCCCGUUUUUCUUCAUUUCUUUCAUCCUCUUCAAUUCCUCUCUCCAUUGCUUCUUCUGCAGGAGCUUUACCCGGUAAUCAUACUCCUCGAAAUAUGCCUUUCUCUGUUCCUUUGAGAGUUUUGCAAGUUGGGUUUUUCGAAGAGGCUUAAAUGGUGGCAGCUGGUCAUACUCAUCAUCUUCCCCAUCUUCCUGCUCAGAAUCAGACACAUCAUCAAUUUCGAUAUCAGAGUCAACACUAUCACCACCUUGGUCUCCGGGGAGCUUAGGAUGUGCACGGGACUGCAACAGCCAAGACAACAAGUAAGGGAGAGGCGGGGAUCGAACUCGGAAACCGAAUACUUUACGAUGAUCCAAUGGUUCUUGAGGCUUCAAAAGAGAAUUAGCUUCUGACAAAACCUUCAGGGAGUAACACAAUAGCAACAGCUGGGGUCUCCAAGUUUGGCCAUUCGGGAGAACCUUCACUCCCUCCCGGUUCUUCCUACACAAGGGGUGAUUCUCAACAAGAGAAACUGGAUUCAUCAGACUUGGAUUCAUCAAGCGCAGAUCUCCAACGGCCUGCCCUAUAGACUGUUGCACAAUAUGUGAGCACUGUGCUACAAACACAUCAUAGCUCAAUGGGGUGCCAGAUGGGCCAUCAGGAGGGGCAGAAGCAGCAUGGGUCAAUGUUACUAUAGCGUUUUUCCAUAUUGAUGUACCGAGAGAAGCAGUAAUCGUCCUUAGCAAGGGCAUAUUGUUCAAGUCCCUGGUCUGGGUGUCAAGACGAUCUACAUAUAGUACAAUAUCAGGGGGACACUUCUUCAUUACCUUCUUUACAGAGGACAACAUUUUUGCAUUUGCACUUUGAUCCAUCGCAGCAGACUUCAAACCCGGAGUAUCAAUAAAGGUAAUCUUGACACCACCCACGGUUUCAGAAAUUUCUCUAACCGAAGUGGUUGAGAGCCCAAAAGCAUCAAUGGACGCCUUCUGAUUUCCCAAAAUGGAGUUUAUAGUAGCACUUUUUCCCACCCCAGCUUUUCCAAGGACCAGUAUGUUUAGAGAGAAGUUCAAAUCUUCGUUGCCCUCAGCCUCAGACUCCACAGCCUUCUUCUUCGCAGCAUCAAGACUGAAAAACUGCCCUGUUUGUCUCCCAGCAAGUAGUGCAAGACGGUAAAGAACCUGCGCUGCGAUUGAAUCUUCUGCCGAAUGCCCCAACUUUUGCAAAAGCCGCAAAAACUUCACACGGAGACUUUGCAACUUUUCUAAUUUCUCUUUCUCUUCCUCGCUCAAGUUAACCUCAGUCUCAUCUGCCAUUGUGACAUUAGGAUUGGAAAAGAUGUUGGAACGGUUUGCACGUGGAGCUGCUGCAGGUUUCAAGGGCCUUAACGAUGAACUCAAACCAGCAGGUCGAUCCAUAGAGAAAAGCUUCGUGCCAUCCUGAGAUGUUAUGGUAAAGUUGCCACCUUCUGAACUUCCACCACCAGUGGCUGCCUUCAAAAGCGCAGCCAAAGCUGCAGAAUCAAACAUUUUCUCCUCACCUUCAUCCUCUGUGUCUACAUCCUCGUCAGAAUCGGUGACAAUCUGGCCAUCAAUCCUAUCUGACAUAUUGUUAGAAAUGUUUGCUUCGUCAGAAUGUGCCUCUAUACCAGAAGAAGCCUUUUCCAGCUCUGCUAAGAACUGUUUUGCAGCUUCAGAACUCCCAAAUAUCAUCUCUUCAGUUUCUUCUUCACUUUCAGACCCAUCAACCCUGGUAACACCUUCGCCAGAAGGUUCCUGGUCCACUUCCUUACCUUCAAAGCUAAACUCACGAGAAGAAACAAUGUCUUCGGCUGGGAGCUUGUUUCCACCCUCUUCAGCAUUGUCCCCUUCGAAAACUUCCCGAACUUCUGGGUUUUGGUUUGCUUCAAACUGUGACUGAGCUGCAGGAUUUGAAUCCUCUUUUGCAUCAACCGAACCCACUGUUAAACUUUCAGAAACGGGCGAUUCUUCUACUUCCACACCUACUUUUGGUUCGUCAGGCUCUACUUUGGCUGCCCCUGACAUUUCCUUAGCAGCCAAUUCAAAAUUUCCAUCAUAUGCAGCAGUCAGGUCAUCAGGUUCCUCAAUAUUUGGGAUGGUCUUGUCAACCUCAUCAUCUCCAUCAUCUUCCUUAAUUACAGCCUCCUUCGCCGCCCUGACAACCACAACCCCUGGCUCUGCAACAUUGAUAUCAGCAUCAACAGAUUCCACCACAGAUGAAUCAACCACAGAGUCUCCUUCACUAGUCAACUUCUCUCCUCCCUCCUCAGUGGCUUUAACAGAUUCACGUUCAACUCCAUCACCUUCAACUUGGCCAACUGGAUCAAACUUAUUAUGCACAUCAGUGAUCUUACCAUCAGUUUCCAGCACCUCACUUGCCUCUACGUCUCCAACAACAACAACCCCUGGCUUUGCCACAUCUACAUUCACAGCUUUUAUAGCAGAUGAGUCCACCACAAAGUCUCCUUUGUUGGUUAACUUAACACCUUCUUCUUCAUCAUCGACUACGCCACUGAACACACUCUCCUCCUCUUUGGUUCCAUUGUCAGCUACUGCAGUAGCUGCCUUGAUUACCUCAGCAUAAGUCAUACCCUUCUCCAAUCCGUUAGUUUGUUCCACAUCCUUUGGUUCAGUCCCGCUCUCGACAGCUACCACCUCUGGCUCUGCAGCAUUGGUAUCCACAGAUUCUAAUUUAGAGGAGUCUGCUCCGCUACUCAAUUUUUCUUCUACCUCCUCAAUGGCCUUAUCAGACACAGGUUCCAAUUCACCACCAUCAUCAUCCCCAAUUUGAUCAAACUUAUUUGCCACUUCAAGAGUUUCAGCAUCAGCAUUAAUGUUCAACUCCUCACUUCCCUCUGCGUCUCCUACAACAGCCACCCCUGGUUUUGCCACAUAAACAUGCACAGAUUCUACAGGGGACGAGUCCACUAUGACGUCUCCUUUAUCAGUUAACUUCACACCCUCUUCUUCAAUGACAUAAUCACUUUUAUCGUCAACAUCAACUUUUCCACUCAACUCACUCUCCUCCUCAUUGGCUCCACUUGCCUGUGUUACCUCAUCAACUUUUUUUGCUCCAACAUCUUCUUCUCCCACAUCCUUCACUUUACUCUCACUCUCCCUUUCUGGAUUCUCAUCCACCACUAUUCCAUCUGUGGAAGCCUGUUUCUCUCCAACAUCAACACUCCCAUUUUCAAUCUUACUCUCACCAUCGUCUUUAAUAUCUUCCACGUCCUCAUUAACCUUCUUAUUCUCCUCCACAACCACUAGACCAUCAGAAACAGCCUCCGGCUUCGGAGAUAGCAAUGACACACCAUCUUCCUCAAUUGUACCAUCAGAAACAACCUCAGGCUUCGGAGUAGCCUCGGGAAUAGCAGAAUCAUCCACCUCGUCAGAAACUUUCCCGUCACCCUCCAAAUUCGGCUUCUCCUUAUCAGAUAAAUCAUCAGCUCCAACCUUAUCCGAAUUACCAGACAAAGCCUCCGACGAGGAAUCCAACUCCUUGGCACUACUCACAGCACCACCAUCCUCCUUAUCGGCGGCUGCAGCAGCAGCGGCGGCGACAACAGAAGCAUAGGUUUUUCCUGUAACAAAAUCCCUUCCGAUAAAAACCCUAUUCCCAAAAACGCAGAUUAAAGAAGAUAGAAACGAGAAAGAAACCUGAUUUCCCCGAAGCGUAGAAGGGGUUCGUUGGUUCUGGAGUUGCCGACUUAGAGUCCAUUUCCGCUUUGCUACUGAGAAUUUAUCGAACUCUCUCUCCACCAAACUUGUGGAGGAAGGAGAUAGCGAUAGAUAGGGUUUAGAGGAAUUAACCCUUUUUGUGUGAAGAUUUUUAUGAUUGAGAAAUUGGCUGCUCUCUUUUGAACAAGAGAGAAUUGGGAGAGAGAUAAGGUCAGUGAGCGAACAAAAAAUGACUCUCUUUUUCCUUUGCUUUGGGAUUUUAUCUUCUCAGUUUGGUUUUGAGGAUGAUGACGAAAUUACCAAAUUACCCUCGAUUCUAAGUUGGUGAAGUUUCCAAGGCUCUCUCUAUGUGCUGCUGCGCUCUAAAACGCUGACGUUUUAUUGGCUCAACUCCGUGUUCAAAAAAUCACUAGGCGCUAGUCGGUAGGUCCGAACAUAAGUACUCGUUAUUCGCUUUGUACCCGCUACUCGGUUCGUACUUGCCUUAAAAAUUCAAGUACUCGCUAUAGUCAAGUCGAGUAACAAUUAAGUAAAUUCUACUACUUGCAAGUAAGGAUCAAGUACCAAAUAUCAUAAUUUUUUUUUAUAUUUGCCCUGUUACUCGCUCUGUUUUAAUACUUGCCCGACUCGUUAUUUGAUACUUGAUACAAUAAUUACUUGUACCCGUGAUUUGUUGCUAUUUCCCUUCUCUUGAUUUCAAAUAAGUGAAACUAACAAUACAACAUAGUAAUGUCCAUUAAACCCAAUAGUAAAACUCUAGCCCAAGUAGUAUUAGAUUGCUUUUAUAUUCAAAUUCUUUAGUUCAAGUACAAGUACUUGCAAGUAACAAGCCGAGUCAAGUUACUUUGCAAGUAACAAGUCGGGUCAAGUUACUUGCAAGUAAUAAGAUUUGAAACGAGUACUUAUUAUAGCAAGUACUUGCUCAGACGAGUCAAGUAUCAAACCUAAAUUUCAAUUACUUAUACGGACUAAGGCGGGUCACAAGUACUUAAAAAUUAGCAAGUACUUGCCUUGUGCCCAGCCCUACUAGUCGGGCGGUGAGAGUGGACCUAACGCCUAGCAAGAAAAUCGGAGAUUAAACGGGAUUUAAUCGGGGAUUAGUUUUAGGACUAUUUAAUAUUUUCAAAACAUAUUAAUCAAUUAAAAUUAAGAAAUUUAUAUUGUUUUUAAAAUUGCAUUAAACACAUGAAAACAAGAUUUUAAGCUCAAAUUUAUGAUUUUUAUACAAAUUACGAAUAUAUAGGACGUUUUAAAUUUUAGAUAUAUAAAAAAAAAGGGCUAGGCACCAUCUAGGCAGACAAAAAAUCGGACCAGCGAUUUUUAUUACCGAUUUGGAAAAAAUUGUCGUUGUUCCCCUCCGAUCAGCGCCUAAGCGGCCGAUUUUUAGAACAGGGGCUCAACCCAAACAAAAUACGUAUAAACAGUUUUUUUUUUCUUUUUUUUUUGAAGAAGUAAUAAUCAUUUGUGGUUAAAAUUUGAAAAAUAAUGUUUAUUUUUGAUAAGUUUUUGUCAAGAAUUUUCAAGAAAUUUUGAAUAAAAAUAGAAAAAUAAUGUUAAUAUUUUAUUCUCUUUUUGAAAAUAUUUACUGUUUAAUCUUCUGCUUUUAUUAUGCAAAAUUCUCCAAAUGUUAAAAACUUCCCCCAAUGGAAAAUGUUUGAUGAGCUUACUAAAUCUAGGGUUUUUGAAGUCAUGAGAAUUAGGGUUUUGAUAUAUCUUCUCUUUACUAAAAACAAAAAACCACACACACAAAACCAAAAAAAAAAAUAAUAAUAAUAAUUAUAAAUGAGAUAACAUUUGAGAUUGCGUUUUAUAAAGAAGAAAGAAAUCUUUUUUGUAUCUUUGUUGAUUCUCCCAACCCGAAAUUGCUUGGCCACAAACUAUUUUUCCCACCAUUAUCUACGAAUUAUCUUGGAUUUUUGUAUAUUAUGGAUUCCAUAUAUUAGGCCGGGAUUAUAGUUUUCACAUGGGCUUUUUAUAAGGCCUAUCCAUAAUAACAGCCCGUAUUUUCGUAAAAAAAAACCCCAUACUACAUAAGAAUCUGACCACAUACCAAAUUUAAUUUUUUGAACUAUACUCAAUAUGAUUUUUGACAUUUACAUACCAAAAAUAAAUAAUUAGUUGAUAGUUUAGUUAAAUAAGAAAUCAGGUUUUUUAAAAAAGUUCUUGAAUUAAAUUAACACAGAUUAUUGAUCCAUGAAGCUACAAAAUCUCAAGUUCUAAUGGAUUACAAAAUAAAAAAGGAAGAAAAACAACAUUUUGAUUUCGUAAUAGAACUCUAGAAGUAGAGACAACGUAAAACCAAAGAAUAAACUGAUGUCUCUGCACAAUACUUUUAUCAUCCAUCUUAGUACAACAAGAAGCAAAGACGUAAGACAUAAAUAUGGCAAGUAACAGAGCACAAAUCCUAAACGCAGAUCCGAUUCAAACUUGAUUGGUUUGUACCUUAACCGCCUUAAAUGCCGGGUGAAGCAACCCGAGCUCGUCUUUCAUCUCCAACGGAUUGCUAGUCUCGUUUCGCACUCUCUUGACUUUGCGACUAGCCAAAGAUUUGUGAGUGAAACCAUAGAUUUGCAGAAUCUGGUUAUCUCCAAAGUUAAAGGCUCUGUCCAUUUGUUUUAGACAACGUUCCACCGGGUAAUCACCAAAUUUCCCACAGGGUUUGCAACCGACAAAGUGAGUCACCAAUGGCCAUCUGUGAUCGCCUAGACCCGGGUGGUAGUUUUCUAUCAUUUCUUCAUAUCGGUCCACAAGAAUCCCCCAGUAACCGUGAAGAUAGUAUCCACUUUCUAGGUACACCUAUAACAACAGUGCAGUGGCUCAAAUAAGUAGCUCAACAAAAUCCAAACCAAGCAAAGAUUUGAGUUUACUUCAAUAAUAGACCUUACACAGAUGUUAGAAACCACAAGAUGCAACUCACAUUGUCAUUUGGGAUGACCAAUAGACAUAAUAAACAACAAAGUGCAACUCACAUUGUUAUUUGUGAGCCAAAAAACGAUCUUUACGUGAUCAAGAGAUGUUAUAAACGGACGAGACAUCUAAAGUUUCCAAAUUUAGAAAAAAUUUUCAGAUCAAACCAAUGAUGAAAUGGAAUCAAGUUCACAGCUUUAAACCAGUCAAAUUCAGUUCGUACCUUACUGCCCCAAGCGUCUCGCUGAGUAGCCAACAAAUAAACCAUAGCAGACUGAUCAUCAGCUUCGAACACCGGCCUAUCCUUGAGCUCACGGGUCAAAACCUUACCCGCUUCCUCACGGAUCUUCCCUUUAGGACCCAUAGGAGCCCAAGUAUCAAGCAAAUCAAGUGCCCAUUGAUUGUUCCUAAGCAAGAAACUCCCAGUAUUCAACCCAAUCCAAUUCUUCUGAUCAUAAACCAUCUCAUUCCAUCCAUGCAUCACCAGAUUGUAAUCUUUAUACCUCUCCCAUGGAAGCUCAAAAGCCAUAUCCGUAAACAUAGCAUCACUAUCCAUCCACCAAAGAAACUCAAUCUCAGGAUGUGACAACAAAAGCUUCCUAAUCAAUGGUAGCUUUGCCCAAAAACCAGCCAUCUCCGCAUCAAGAAGAGCCAUAUUAUAGAAGAUCUCGAUCCCAUGUAGCCUACAGUAAUCGAUCUUGUUCUUGAUCGAUUUCAAGAGGUAAUGAUCACCGACAGGAUUCUCACAUGGUUUUGGCGCCGAACCAGUAACCAAAAGGACACGUGGCUUGUUUGGUCCGAUGAAAUUAGGGAAGCUAGGGUUCUUAGCUAACCAAUCGGAUCUCUGCUCAUCCCAAUCUGAUAUCUUGGGUCCGAGAGUGUAAGGUUUAUUCGGGUCGGGUUUUUCUUCUUCACCUUCGUCAACGAAUAUCUUGUUGAUGUCAAACGUCUCAUAGUUAUUACUCCCACCGGAAUUACCUCCACCGUCACCGGAGGAAGAAGAAGAAUCUCCUCCGGUCUGGAUUUCUUCAAGAACACGGUGAGGCUCUCCUCGUUUGCGUGCGUGGAAAUGUUGACGGAUCUCGUCAAGAUCUUGCUCCGGAGUUCCGAAUUUACCGGCGCCGAUUGUGCUACGUAGGACAACUACGGUGAGAACAAGACAGAGAAUCGUUACCUUUAAUUGACGUAAUGCUCUUUGGAUUCUCCGGCACCGGUAAGCUCCUAAACACCUUUCAAUCAUCUUCUUCUUCUUCUUUCUUCUUAGAGGUUUCUCUGUAAAGAUUUGUGCUUUGUGUGUUUUUAAGAGAAGAUCUGAGUUUCCAUUAAUGUCAGAGAUUCGAAUUUGAUAAUCUGUUAAUUACCAAAGUUACUACUAGAAGAAGAGAAGAGGAGAGAGUUUUUGUGUUUUGGACACGACAGUUAAGAUUGUCUGAUUUCACUUAAUUGUCGGUGGUAGUGCUGUGUUAGUAGUGUUGUUGACACAUGGCGAGAUUGUAGAUAGUGUGAUUUGUGAUCAAUUAUCUUGACCGUUGAUGAAGUUAUAGAUCUAUAAAAAACUAAAAAUCUAUGAGCGUUGAAAAGUCAACUCGUUGUUGUUUUUUGUAGUUUUAGUGGAAAACUCGUUUUUUUUUUUUUUUAUAUAUAGAAAACUAGUUGAAAAGAAGGAGCAUAAAUAGCAAAAUAUUUUCAACUUAUUUGAUAUAGUUAUAUUACUAAUUAGAGGUUAGUAAGUUACCCAAAUGACUUUUGGAAUUCAUUAUAUUGAGAUAUGUUUUUUUAAAAAUGGUCUUUGAUUUUUUUUUCUCAUCAUGAAAAAGAUGCCACCAUUACAUAAUGAAAAAAAAAUUAUCUUAUGAAAAACAUCAGAAAUCAAUAUCCACUAUUACAUCAUGAAAAUGAAAAACAUCAGAAAUUAUUAGCCACUAAGUACAUUAUGAAAAAAUAUUAUAUCAUAACAAAAUAUCAAACCACUUGUGAAAAAUAUCAACUACACUUAAAACAACAUCAUUGGUAGGCUCUUAAGAUUGGGCUCUUAACAAUAGUUUAGUAUUAAAAUUAUAAAGUUUAGAGUUAAAGAGAUUGUAUUUUUGUUUUUAAUUUUUAUGUGUCUUUAAUGGUAAGCUCUUAACUUAUGGUUCUUAGAAAAAAUUUAAUUUAAAAAUGAAAUUAAAUUAACAAUUUUAAUUUUAGAAAACUUAAUAAUUAUUGCAAAUUAAAUUUUUUUAAACAUAUAUGAGAUAUAAUUUAUAACAUAAAUCAUAAUAGUUUUAAACUUGAUUUCUGGCAAAUUUUGUCCAUAUAUCUAGUGGAAUUGAAAUAGAUUGGAUAAAUGUAGUCUUUUAGGAUAAAUGCCAUAAGUGAGAUAUGAUAAAUGUAGUCCAUUUCGGGUAUAAAUAGAUUGAAUGUAGCUUGUUAUAUAAAUGUUCAGGUAAAUGUUCGAGUUUUCGGGUAAAUAUCCGAUUUUUCAGAUAAAUAUUCGGGUUUUCAAUUAAAACUCAAAUUUCAGGCAAAAUUUGGAUUUUAGAAUAAAACAUUCGGGUAUUUUCGGGUUCCGAUUUGGGUCGGGUUCAGGUUUUCUGGUAUAUGAGUUUAGGACCUAAUAGGAUAAAUCUAAAUUUUUGGAUUCGGUUUCGGAUAGAAUUUUUCGACUUAUCAUAGAUUUCAGAGACAUUCUCAAAAGAAGAAGAUAGAAAAAUGAUAAGAACUAAUGCUAAGAACUGAUUAUUUGACUCUUAUAUAAGAGUCGGUUCUUAAGAUAUAAGCCAUUUAUUCAUUUAUUUUUUUGUAAGAAUUAAUGUUAAGAACUUCUUAAGAAUCGUACUACCCAAUUUCUAGAAAAUAUCAACUAACAAAACAAUCACAACUCAUACUUUUACGGUUUUACCUCACUCAUCUUUUUCAACUAGUAUAUCAAAAGAAAUACUUCCUUCCGCAAUUGGUGGAUUACACAGCAGAAAGAUUGUCUCACUUCAUCGCAACAUAAUAAUCUCCUCCAAUUAAAGGACCGACAACCAAUGAGGAGAUAUAUUGUUGUAGAAAAAUUAUUUGAUACACUCAAGAACAUCUCUCGUGCACAUACGGAGACAUCUAAAUAUUCUGAAUUAGCAAAAAGCGAUAUUUGAGCUUUUGAAUCUCUUUCAAUUUUCUUGAUGUUUGUCUGAUUUUUCCCCAAUACAAAUCCAACAUUAGUCGUAGGGCACCUAAGAUGAAGUUUCACCUAUCUAGCUUCAUUCCUUUCAUACAUGGAAGCCAUGUUUUACCUUACAGAAGAUUUGUGAUGAUUCUGCAAAUUGAAGAACAAGAGAGAGAAACGGAUUUGACUAACGAUUUGAAGAACAAGAGAGAGAAAUUUGUGAGAGAACGCCUUCGUAAAAAAUAAUGGAUACAAAUAUAAUUUUCUAAAAGUCAUUUCUUCCAGAAACUGCCAAAAGCGAGUCCUUCUCUCUAAAAAUCAAUAUCUCUCUCCCUUCUCUCUAAAAAAAGGAACGUCCGUUUGAUCUCUGGUUCCAGUGGCUUCCAUAGCACUGGAGCUGGGGAACCUCUUUUUACUAGUCUUGUUUUAUCUCUUUUCUUUAGUAUUUUCAUGAAUUUCUUCCAACGGAAUCAAUUCUAGUUUUUCAGAUCUAGGUUUUUGAAGCUUAAAUCUUUUCAUCUUUGUGUUCUUGUAUUCUCAGCUUCUGAUCUGGCCGUAUCCUUCCUUGGCAGAGGCAGUUUUCAACCGGUUCUUCACUGCCUCAGAUGAAGAAAAUUCACCAUCGUAGAUCUAGAUCUUCUUCCUUUCUUCAAGAGACGAUCCUUGAGUCUCUAGAUUUUGGAUGUGUCUCACCGCCUCCGUGGCUCCUCUGUGGAGCUUUAUAAAGAGGAUCGCACGGCACUUUCAAUUAGUUCCAACUUGUGGUAAAGGAGAUUCUUGUAUUUUAUCCCGUUUGUGUGUUUUUCUUUAUCUCAGAUUUGAUUAAAUUUUCUAAAAGUUUAGGUUUUGUAAGUCUUUUUUUGGGUUUCUAGAUUCUGAUCCGGGAAGUAUUUAUGGUUGUAGUUGGUUUGUUUGGGUUUUUUCCCCUUUGUUUACCUUGUUUGGUCUUUGUCUCUGGGAGUGUUCUUGUACUCGCCAGCUUAUGUCUCUGGAAGAGUUUAUCUCUUGCCGGCUUUGUGUACUAAAACCGCAUCCUACCCUUGUAACCUUCAAUCGUAUAAUAUAAUGUAAUAAUUCAGACGAAAAAAAAAAAAAAAGUCAUUUCUUCCAAAUUUGCUCUUAUUCUUUAUAAAUUCAUUUAUUCCCC